AGAGGGUGCAAGCGUUAAUCGGAAUUACUGGGCGUAAGGCGUGCGUAGACGGUUUUUUAAGUCGGAUGUGAAAUCCCCGGGCUCAACCUGGGAAUUGCAUUCGAGACCGGAAGGCUAGGGUGCGGAAGAGGGAAGCGGAAUUUCUGGUGUAGCGGUGAAAUGCGUAGAUAUCAGAAGGAACAUCAGUGGCGAAAGCGGCUUCCUGGUCCAGUACCGACGUUCAGGCACGAAAGCGUGGGGAGCAAACAGGAUUAGAUACCCUGGUAGUCCACGCCAUAAACGAUGAGAACUAGACGUUGAGAGGGUUAGCCUCCCAGUGUCGAAGCUAACGCGAUAAGUUCUCCGCCUGGGGAGUACGGCCGCAAGGUUG
This 370-nucleotide ribosomal RNA is filed under the name uncultured bacterium. Its description in RNAcentral is "bacterial SSU rRNA". It matches the Rfam family "Bacterial small subunit ribosomal RNA", at positions 527 to 896 of the family's 1533-position model. The record is from RNAcentral.